RNAcentral lists this ribosomal RNA (468 nucleotides) under uncultured bacterium. RNAcentral's name for it is "partial 16S ribosomal RNA". It matches the Rfam family "Bacterial small subunit ribosomal RNA", at positions 28 to 507 of the family's 1533-position model. The record is from RNAcentral.
GACGAACGCUGGCGGCGUGCUUAAUACAUGCAAGUCGAACGGAAAGGCCCUGGUUUGGUGGGGUGCUCGAGUGGCGAACGGGUGAGUAACACGUGAGUAACCUGCCCUUGACUAUGGGAUAACUUCAGGAAACUGGGGCUAAUACCGGAUAGGAUCUUCUGCUGCAUGGUGGUGGUUGGAAAGUUUGGGCGGUUGUGGAUGGGUUCGCGGCUUAGCAUAUUGUUGAUGGUGUAGUGGCUGACCAGGCCGUUGACGGGUAGCAGGCGUGAGAGGGUGACCGGCCACAUUGGCAGUGAGAUACGGGACGGAGCACUACGGAAGGCAGCAGUGGGGAAUCUUGCACGAUGGGGGGAAGCCGGGUGAAGCAACGCCGCGUGCGGGAUGAAGAGCUUUGGGGUAAGAGAAGAUUUCGACUGAGACGAAGCGUGAGUGACGGUAACGGAUCAAAAAGCAACGGCUAACUACGUG